UACGUAGGUGGCAAGCGUUGUCCGGAUUUAUUGGGUUUAAAGGGUGCGUAGGCGGCCCCAUAAGUCAGUGCUGAAAUAUCCCGGCUUAACCGGGAGGGUGGCAUUGAUACUGUGGGGCCUGAGUAAAGUUGAGGUUGGCGGAAUUGACGGUGUAGCGGUGAAAUGCUUAGAUAUCGUCAAGAACACCGAUAGUGUAGACAGCUAACUAAGCUUUAACUGACGCUGAGGCACGAAAGUGUGGGGAUCAAACAGG
This 253-nucleotide ribosomal RNA is filed under the name uncultured bacterium. Its description in RNAcentral is "partial 16S ribosomal RNA". It matches the Rfam family "Bacterial small subunit ribosomal RNA", at positions 524 to 776 of the family's 1533-position model. The record is from RNAcentral.